Molecule: long non-coding RNA, 1726 nt
Organism: Hemicordylus capensis (graceful crag lizard)
Lineage: Eukaryota; Metazoa; Chordata; Lepidosauria; Squamata; Cordylidae
Exons: 2
Source: RefSeq, a predicted model, not a curated record
CUCUCCUGCACAUCCAUUAAUGGAACAGUAGUCCGCUGCCCUCCUUUGCCAUCCUCAUCUGAGAAAGAGAUGGACAUAGAAGACCUACAAUUGAGCAGCGGGUCCUGUGCUGGUGAUAAAGAUGAUGCAGUGGUAUUAUCUUUGACACCAGCUGGAUUGAGAAGAGUUUUAUGGUCCUUUACCACUUAUUGCUCUGAUGAAUUAUUAAGCGUAAAUUAUCAAAAGACUAACGUGAUGGUCUUUGUUAAGCUACCAGUCAAACAUAGGUGGCAGAUAAAUGGGAAUGAUAUUAAGCAGGUUAUGCUCUACAAAUAGCUGAGGGUUGCUUUUCAUGCCACAGGCUCAUGGAGGGUGCAAAUUAGUUACCUAAUUUGCACUCUGAGAAUGCUGUGGUGAAUUCUCAAGAAGUGCUGCCACCAUCCUCAGAUUCUCUUUUUUUUACCCAAAUACAAGACAACUCUGAAUUUAAGACGAGCCCCUUAAAAAGAGAGGUUAAAUACAAGUUAUACCUAUAUUUACCUCAAACGAAGAGGACUCUGAAUUUAAGAUGACUCCCUGAUUUCUGAUUUCUAUUGAAGAGUAGCUUUCCCCCUAGUUAUUUGAUAACUAGGGAAAAAGCUACUCUUCAAUUUAGAUAAAUAGAGUACUGCACUAAUUGAGGUCACCACAUUCCUCCUGCAAUUAAGGUGUUUGAGGCAAAAGCAGUAGCGCAACUGCUGUAUGGUUCCCAGGUGUGUGUCUAGAAGGACUACAGCCCAUUAAAGGUCUUUCACUCUAAAUUCUUAGGAGUCCUCCUUACAGUCCCCCAUUGUGUGCCCAAUGCAGCUAUGCAGCUUGAGUUGGGCCUAGUCACAGUUGGCAUGAGCCUGGCUUUAAUAUCUAUUUAAUUUUGGGCUUAUACAAUUUUUUCUUCCAGCCAGUUUGGCCCUAUUAAUCCUGUUGGACAAUUUACAGUCUGUCUGGAGGAGGCCACUGGAGGAAAAAUUUCAGUUACAGGGUUUACCCCCUAGUCCCUAAUAGCCCUGGGUUUCUACAAAGCUAAAUUGACUCUCAAACAAUGUAUAUGGGGCAACGAGCUACAAAAAGAUAUGAGUUCGGUUCCCAGUUAUCCUAGUUUGGGGGUGUGUGUGUCCAUAAAUAGUUUUACUGCAGCUUAUUAUCUUUCUAAUCUCAUUGUUUUAAGCCAUAAGAGAGCAUUUACACUGACACACUUUAAUGUCUUGCCAUCAGCUUUACUUGAAGGGAGAUAUCGCAAUACAGUAUUCCAUUUUCUGAAUGUAUUUGUCCAUGUAAAAUGGGUGACAUUGAAAUAGUGGGACAUAUCCUUUUCUACUGCCGCUAUUAUAAAGAUUGUCACCCCGCUUUUAUGAUUCCUAUUUUAGUUAAAAUGCCAGGUAGGUCUGAAGUGCUUUUUUGUAUCCCUCCUGCUAUCAUAUCACCAUGUAGACAUCUCUGAGAGAAGUUUUUGAGAGAUGAGAGACUAGGUUUUGUGCUAUUGCUUGUACUGCACAAAAAAUGUUGUGCAAACUGAUUUAAUUAGUAUUACAUCUGCUGAUGCUUAAUGUCUCUGCUGAAUUUGUAGUGCUGAAUUUAAGACGGUUGCAUAUAUUAUGGUGUACUAUAUGUUUUUAUUUUAUUUUCAAACCAUAAUAUUAUGGUAUACUAUGUGUUUUUCUUUUCUUCUUGACUGGUUUAAGACCAUAAUAAAAUUACUACUUACUUACUA